This 379-nucleotide unclassified non-coding RNA is filed under the name uncultured Actinomycetes bacterium. RNAcentral describes it as "uncultured actinobacterium contains 16S-23S intergenic spacer region". Lineage: Bacteria; Bacillati; Actinomycetota; Actinomycetes. The record is from RNAcentral.
UCCGAGUUGACCCCGGCAGUCUCCCAUGAGUCCCCGGCAUAACCCGCUGGCAACAUGCGACGGGGGUUGCGCUCGUUGCGGGACUUAACCCAACAUCUCACGACACGAGCUGACGACAGCCAUGCACCACCUGUGAUCCUGCCCACAAGGGGAAACCGUGUUUCCACGGCGGUCAGGAACAUGUCAAGCCUAGGUAAGGUUCUUCGCGUUGCGUCGAAUUAAACCACAUGCUCCACCGCUUGUGCGGGCCCCCGUCAAUUCCUUCGAGUUUCAGCCUUGCGGCCGUACUCCCCAGGCGGGGAACUUAAUGCGUUAGCGCCGGCACUGACGGGAUCAGUACCGCCAGCACCUAGUGCCCAUCGUUUACGGCGUGGACUAC